This 238-nucleotide unclassified non-coding RNA is filed under the name Hevea brasiliensis (rubber tree). Lineage: Eukaryota; Viridiplantae; Streptophyta; Magnoliopsida; Malpighiales; Euphorbiaceae. The record is from RNAcentral.
CCCGCCUUCUGUGCGUCGGCAUCAGGCCGCGCCGGCUCGGGCGCGGGAGUAGGUCGUGUGCCGCCCGGUUUCGAGUCCGCGGGUCCGUCACUUUUCCCGGCCGGCACUGAAGGCUGCGACUCCGGCGACUGCGUCGUUUGCGCCAAAUGAACCUGGCCGCGCGACGCCAGUUGCAUCAGCGAAAUUCCGGACAGCGUCAGACCGCCCGCGAUCAGGAUCGCGGACAGAAUAAGAUCGG